ACGGGGAGACCUUCAAAGACUUGCAGUGACCUACCUUUGCUGCUGAUGUACCAGUAAGCUUAACUACGGACUUGCUGUCUCCUGUGACCAGCAAAGAGAAACCAGACAUAGGCUUAUGCAGAACAGUUCCUAGAACAUGAAUGAUCUGAAAUCGCUUCACUUUCACAUCUAACUCCAACCAGGGUGGUGUUUUGGUUGAAACCGACUGUGAACUGAUUCCUACGGCAGAGCACAGGGUGGGUGCUGGCCACAGUUCAUGGUAAGCAGUCUGAGCGGAUCCUUACCCCACUGCAGAAGCAAUAAAACCCACCCCCUGCUGAAGCGGUAGGAGCGCUCACCCGGUUUGUACCUCUCGUGAGACCGUGAACUCCAGAAAUCCAACCUUACCCACAAACUGCUAAUUCGGUGGAAAGAAGUCUUCAAAUCUAGGCCAGCAGGUGAUAGUAAACACGGAAAUAGAAGCUGAGCAGAAGGUGCUGGUUUGUCUUAAGUUAGAAAACUGAGAUCAUUUGUAUGUGGCCUCAGCUUCAAAUAGCUCAUUUGGUGUUUCCUCUUGGAUUUAUAGAGGUUGUUAUAGGUAUUUGUUUUUAGCAAGAGAACGAGAACUCUUUAAUAGUGGAUUUUUUUAAAAAAAGAUUUUAUUUAUUUAUUUGACAGGCAGAGAUCACAAGU
Neogale vison (American mink) is the source of this 672-nucleotide long non-coding RNA. RefSeq lists it as uncharacterized. NCBI's taxonomy places the organism in Eukaryota, Metazoa, Chordata, Mammalia, Carnivora, Mustelidae. The transcript has 3 exons. The record is from RefSeq and is a predicted model, not a curated record.